RNAcentral lists this ribosomal RNA (424 nucleotides) under uncultured bacterium. RNAcentral describes it as "partial 16S ribosomal RNA". It matches the Rfam family "Bacterial small subunit ribosomal RNA", at positions 360 to 776 of the family's 1533-position model. The record is from RNAcentral.
AAUAUUGGACAAUGGGCGCAAGCCUGAUCUAGCCAUGCCGCGUGAGUGACGAAGGCCUUCGGGUUGUAAAGCUCUUUCGGACGGAAAGAAAUCGCGCAGUACAAUACCCUGCGCGGAUGACGUUAUUGUCAUAAAACGCAACCGCUAACUACGUGCCAGCAGCCGCGGUAAUACGUAGGGUGCGAGAGUUAAUCGGAAUUACUGGGCGUAAAGCAUGCGCAGGCGGUUGAUUAAGACAGGCGUGAAAUCCCCGGGCUUAACCUGGGAACUGCGCUUGUGACUGGUCAGCUAGAGUACGGCAGAGGGGGGUGGAAUUCCACGUGUAGCAGUGAAAUGCGUAGAGAUGUGGAGGAACACCGAUGGCGAAGGCAGCCACCUGGGCCGAUACUGACGCUCAUGCACGAAAGCGUGGGUAGCAAACAGG